CUUAUUUUAUGCCUAAUUUUUAUCAACCUUUUUAGUGUCCACUUUUUUAAAUUAAAAAAAAUAACUAGCUAAUUAGCUAGAUAGCUAGCUAACUAGCCAAAUAGCUAACUUAAUAACUAGCAAAUUAAACAUAACCCUGUUUUCCCCAUUUUUCGUUUGUUCAUAUAUAUACAUAAGUAUUUGCGAGUUUUGUUUUCAGCUAUACAUACAUACAUACAUACAUACAACCAAAAUAUAUGUAUAUAUGUAUGUACAUGUUUAUAUAUGUGCGUACGCGUGUUUACGUAGAACAUAAGCAAGCACUUACAAAGGAAACGGUGAUGUCUUAAAUUAAAAGCUGUAUACAUCGAAAAUAGUAGCAACAAGUAGUAGUAUCUACAGUAGUAAUAAAUAGUAGUAGCAACAGAAUUACGGUACAAGAUGCUGAAACAUGGAAUAAAAGGAUUGUACUCUUUUAUAGAUGAUAUUCGUAACUGUAAAUGUAAAGAAGAGGAAGAAAAAAGAGUACUAGAAGAAAUAAUAAAAAUAAAAAAAAAAUUUAAUAAAAAAAAUAUUACAAAUAGUAAAAAAAAAGAAUAUAUAUGGAAGUUAAUAUAUUGUCAUAUAUUAGGAUAUGGCAUAUCAUUACCUUAUAUUGUUAUAAUUAAAUUAAUUAGUAGUAAUGUAUUUAGUGAUAAAUACUGUGGGUAUACAGCUUUAUCUCUGUUGCUUAAUGAACAAAAUGAAAUGUUAAACAUGAUGGUAAGUACAAUUAAAUCAGAUAUAAAAUGUAAUGAUGAAAAGGUAAAUUUUUUAGCUUUACAUUUUACUAGUAACAAAAUGAAUGAUAUGCUAGUCAAAAAUUUAUACGAUGAUAUAUUUCAUAUAGUAACGUCAAAUUAUAUAUAUAAACCGAAUAUUCGUAAAAAAGCUUUUCUAUGUUUAGCUAAUAUUUAUAAAAAAAGACAUGAUUUAUUACUUAAUAAUCGAACUGAUUAUGAAAUUUUUAAAUUUAUUGAUCAGAAUUUAAAUGAAAUAAAUAUGUUUAAUGUGUUUGCUUAUUUAAAUUUGAUUUAUAUUAUCAUAUUAGUAUAUGAAAAAUAUGAAUGUUUAUAUUAUUGGUGGAAAAAAAAAAAAAAAAAAAAAAAAAGAGCUAACAACUUUUGAGGAUAUGGGAUUUGAUGACUACGAAAAAGUUGGUACCAUAUCAAAUAAUCAAAUUAAGAAAGCAAUAACAAGAAAUGGUGAUAGUAGUAGUAGUAGAAGUAGUACUACUAGUAGUAGUAGUAGUAGUAGUACUAGUAGUAAAAAUAGCAACAUUAUUAACAUCAAUAAUAGUAAUAAUGUAUAUCUGAAAGAACAAAGUAUUUUAUAUAAUGAGCUAACAUAUAAAGAUUUGGAAAAAAAUGAUCGAUUUAUUGAAAUACAAACAGAUUGUAAUAUAAUGUUAGAUUUAGAUGAAAUUGAUUUUUAUCAAUUAAGAAAAUAUAUUAAUAAGUAUAUUUAUUAUAUAAUUAAUGUUCUGUAUUUAAUAUUAGAUGACAGUUUAAAUAUUGAUGAUGGAUUUUUUUAUAGCCAAUAUAGAUAUCCAUUUUUAUUAAUUAAAUGUUUACAAAUGGUUCAGCUAUUUAAUGUUAAUACAUUAUCAGAGAAAAUAAUUAACAAUAUAAACGACAUAUUAUAUAAAAUUGUAUAUACGUUAUAUCAAAAAAUAAAAAGUAAAUUGAAUUUUAAUGAAGGUGAAAAUAAUAAAAAUAAAAAAGUUAAAAUUAAAGACUCUGUAGAAAAUAUGAAAAAAGGAAUAGAUAAAAAAAAAAAAAAAAAAGAAAAAUACAAAAAACGAGAAACUAAUAGUGAUAGGAAUAGCAGUAGUAGCAAUAAAAGUGAUAAUGGCUUAAGUCGUGAAAAAAAUCGGAAACCAGGUGAAUAUAUAUCUAAAAAAACAUUUUUAAAUAAUAGUUUUGAAUUACUUAACAAUGAGAAAUAUGAUGUUGAAGAGAAGUACAGCGUCAGUGGUAAUAAUCAAAGCAUGAAAAAAAAAAAAAAAAAAAAAAAAANNNNNNNNNNNNNNNNNNNNNNNNNNNNNNNNNNNNNNNNNNNNNNNNNNNNNNNNNNNNNNNNNNNNNNNNNNNNNNNNNNNNNNNNNNNNNNNNNNNNAAAAAAAAAAAAAAAAAAAAAAAAAAAAAAAAGCCAAGAAGAAAUAAGAAUUCAAAAAAGCACUAUGUAUAUAGAGUAUAGUAUACUAUACGAAUGUUCUAAUGUAUAUAAUUUUUUAAAAGACAAAUUGAGUGACAAAAAUAAAGAUAUAUUAAUAUAUUUAAUUACCUCUUCAUUUAAUACGAAUAUAGCAAAUAUAAAUUAUACUGUAUUAAAUAUUUUGUCAAAGGUAAAAAUGAAUCCAAAAAUAUAUGAUAUGUUAGAGGCACAUAUGGUACAUUUAAUUAAUUUUUUAAAUAAUGAUGACAUAACAAUAAUAAUACAAACUUUUAAUAUAUUAUUUAAUAUCUGUAAUCAUAGUAAUUGGGAAUUGUUAAUAAAAGUUUUUUUACAUCAUUUACCACACAUUGAUCCUUAUAUACAAAACGAAAUAAUAAUAAAAAUAAUAAUUUUAGCUGAACAGUUUUGUACUAACUUAGCUACUUAUAUAGAUAUAAUAUUCGAGGCGAUUGAAAUAUCACACAAGUCUCUUUCGCAGGAGGUAUGGUUUCGUUUGGUGCAAAUGGUCACUGGGUUUGUUAGCGAAAAUCAAAACAAAAACAAGAACAAAAACAAGAACAAAAACAAAAAUCAAAACCAAAGUCAAAACCAAAACCAAAACCAAAACCAAAUCCAAGAACAUAGUAGAAACUCAUUAAAAAUGGGUAACACGCGAUGUACAAGUAAAUCUAGUAAAAGGAAAGGCGCUGAUAGUUACUAUAGUAGUACCAGUAGUAGUAGUAGUAGUAGUAAUAAUAAUAAUAAUAAUAAUAAUAAUAAUAAUAAUAAUAGUAGUAGAAACAGUAGCAGGGGCAGGGGCAGGGGCAGGGCCAAUAGGAAUCAUAAAUCCGUAAACAAAUCCAGUGUUAUGCUUAUACCUAAUGGAAAAAAAAAUAUUAAUAAAGGGAACCAUUUUGCAGAAUCAAAUAACAAAUAUAAAGAAAACCAUAAUGUACAAAUAUAUGCAGCUACAAAAUGUUAUAAAUAUUUAUUACAAAAUUUUACAAAAAUAGAAUUAUUAAUUAAUUUGUGCUGUUAUAUCAUUGGUACAUUUGGUUAUUUAAUUAAAAACAAAGUAACAAUGAAAGAACAACUAAAAGUUAUGGAAAAAUAUUUUUAUGUUGUAUCUACAAACACGAAAUAUGUCAUUUUAAUGGCGAUGGUAAAAAUGGUUUAUUAUGAUUAUAAAAUUAUAAAUAAUGUAAAAAAAAUACUUAACGAUUGUAUUAAUCAUUCAGAUUUGGAAUUACAAACAAGAGCAUGUGAAUUUAUUAAUCUAUUUAAUAUUAAC
This 3466-nucleotide long non-coding RNA is filed under the name Piliocolobus tephrosceles (Ugandan red Colobus). RNAcentral describes it as "lncRNA (ENSPTEG00000007145.1)". The record is from RNAcentral. Lineage: Eukaryota; Metazoa; Chordata; Mammalia; Primates; Cercopithecidae.